Molecule: long non-coding RNA, 4086 nt
Organism: Gigantopelta aegis
Lineage: Eukaryota; Metazoa; Mollusca; Gastropoda; Neomphalida; Peltospiridae
Exons: 8
Source: RefSeq, a predicted model, not a curated record
AUGACUGUGGUCAGUAACUCAAGAUGACCUCUACUUGAUGCACUGUGUAAAUUGUCUGUGGUCAGCAACUCAAGAUGGCCACUACUUGAUGCACUGUGUACACUGACUUUGUGGUCAGUAACUCAAGAUGACCACUACUUGAUGCACUGUGUAAAUUGUCUGUGGUCAGUAAUUCUAGAUGACCACUACUUGAUGCACUGAGUAAAUUGUCUUUGUGGUCAAUAACUCAAGAUGACCACUACUUGUUGCACUGCGUAAAUUGGCUUUAUGGUCAGUAACUCAAGAUGACCACUACUUGAUGCACUGCAUAAAUUCUCUUUGUGGUCAGUAACUCUAGAUGACCACUACUUGAUGCACUGUGUAAAUUGACUUUGUGGUCAGUAACUCAAGAUGACCACUGUUUGAUGCACUGCAUAGACUGACUUUGUGGUCAGUGAGCAUCAGUUUGAUGAUAGCUGACCAUUAUUUGGCUGGUCCCUAUCUAAGGAUCACCCUGGCUACUGGUUAAUAACUAAGAAAUGUUCAGCUCUUAAAGAACAAACCCAGCCAUGAGCUGGCUUAGUCUGACUCACUGUUUCUUUGUCACUUUGUCACUGCAGACAGAGAACAUAAUCACUCUUAAUGGACAUACACAUCUUGACCACUGUCCAUUGAGAAUGGACUUCGCCACUGAUAAUGGUUGGUCAGUUCUUUAAGGGUGUAACUGGACAUUCCGUAGACACUGGCAGUGACUGGUCACUUAUUUAAGGGUGUAACUGGACAUUCUGUAGACACUGGCAGUGACUGGUCACUUAUUUAAGGGUGUAACUGGACAUUCUGUAGACACUGGCAGUGACUGGUCAGUUCUUUAAGGGUGUAACUGGACAUUCUGUAGACACUGGCAGUGACUGGUCAGUUCUUUAAGGGUGUAACUGGACAUUCUGUAGACACUGGCAGUGACUGGUCACUUAUUUAAGGGUGUAACUGGACAUUCCGUAAACACUGGCAGUGACUGGUCACUUAUUUAAGGGUGUAACUGGACAUUCCGUAGACACUGGCAGUGACUGCUCAGUUCUUUAAGGGGGUAACUGGACAUUCUGUAGACACUGGCAGUGAUUGCUCAGUUCUUUAAGGGGGUAACUGGACAUAUUAACUAACAUUUGGCAUUGCAUAGUAAGGAUAGAUGACCACUGGUCAGUAGAUGGACAGUUGUUAGUACUGACCAUUAAGAAUAGAAUGGACUCCAGUGGGUGAUCAAGCAGUGAUAUCUAACUGCAGCUAGCUCAAUCGUUCUUUACUGAAUUAUAGACUUGAUAUUCUGCUUUUAUCUUAAUAAUAUCUGAUGACAUGUUAACACCUUGUAGACCCUUGUUACAGAGAUUGGAGGAUGCAAGAAUAAACUGAACAACAAAUUUGCAUUGAAUGCAGGUUAAUGUAUAGGCUGCAUUUAUUUAGCUCUUUUUUUUUCUCUUUUUUUUUUUCAAAACUGCAUAUGUGUAUCUACAAAUAAGUAAAUACUGUUACCUCAUGGUAGGUAGCCUGCCUUUGAAACAACAAGGAAUCGCUGUGUAACUGGUAUUCAACACGGCAGCCACUCCGUACUGUGUACCAUUUUCACACUUACUUUUUUUUUUUUGCUGCUGCACAAAGCAGGACUUGUUUAUCCACUAGGAAUCCUACUGUAGAGGUCACUGAUUAUGAGGCUCAUAUGUGCAUACAGAAUGUUUCUUGUGCCUUAAACUAACAUUGAAACGUUUGCUCCACCACAAGAAGUCCCAGCAGCUUGUGUCGGCAGGCAGCCCGUUGGUGGUGGACUUGUGCAUGCACACCAGUUGUACUUCUGCUUGCACACCAGCUGAAACAGAAUACACAAUAACUAGAUAAAAUACAGUUCCACUGGUUGUGGGCUGCUGUCUCGGCGAGUGCAGCCCGUCUGCAGUUCUCGUCUGCUGGUUUGCGUCUGCUACAGAGUGUGGGCAGACGGCAGUUUACGUCUGUUAUCCACUCACUUGUGUCUGUGAUCAACCCCUCGGCCUAGAUUCAUCCUAGGCAGGUGAUCAGACCAGCCUCAGAGGUCACGUGUCCCAGAAAGCAUUUCUCACUGCCAGUUACUUCCUCUUGCUUGUAUGACCUCUAGUCCCAGCUAUAGAUUUGAGGAGUGGGGAUACUCAGCCAUUGGCGCGGAUAAUCUUCCACACUUUUCAAUUGUUUCACUGCGCCAGCAAUGUGGCUGGUGUCUGGCCAGGCCUGGUGAGAGGGGAUCUUGUCUACCUGGGAUGUGGAUGUAAGGAAAGCGAAGGGAGCCGUCCGUCUGGCAGGAUAAAUGUGGUCUCUGCUCUCUCUCCUCGUGUCUCAUACCGGAGUACUUAGAAGCAAAUGUGUUUCCACUGACCUCGUCUUAUGGUUGCCGUUUGGAAAAUAAGAUUCGUGUUCCCGCUUUUUUUAACUCUCUGCACCCGUUCCAUUUUAUGCUUGUGUGACUUUUCAGGUGCAAAUCACAGAUACUUUGAAGUAUCUGAAAUCAAUUCGCUUUCCAAAAUGGCUGCUUGCAGACUGCAGAUUUAGGUGUCAUCUCUGGGAUAUUUGGAUAUUGUGUUUCUGCCAUCAAGUAACAGGUGCCUUGCAUGGAUCCAGCCACACAACUAACCUGUUAAAGCCGUUUGUGUAAAUUUACACAAUGAUGAUGCAACAACACAGCAAGCCAAAUGGGUCUGAAAUGCAAGAGUGAUAACACUGACAGAUGUUACAAACAAACAUACAGAUGAACAGACGUACUAUUACAUGUCAGAAUGUAAAAAAUGGUAGACAGUCUUGACAGGCAGUUCGACUUGCUUCCCCGAUUGAAAUCCAUGAUGCUGUGUUUCUCUUGGGUGUGAUACGAACGUAACUCUGUGUGCUAGGAACCGUGUGCUGUCAGAAGACACUGUUUGGAAACAGUGUGUUGGCUGUUGGCUGUCAUCGGUGGCAGGACUGGUGUAAAGACUCCAAGUCCAGGAGACCAGAACGGUCUGCAGGGUGGAACUGCAGGUCCUACGCAGCAGGAUCUUAAAACAAAACCAAUGGCAGCGCUCGGGAUGUAAAACCACACGGAACGGCAACGAUUGGAUGAGCUACGCGCUAAAUCAUUGCUGGAUCUGUAUCAUUCAAAAUAUGGAUUUAUAUAAUGUGAUCCCAUGGAAUUAUACAUGGCCAGAUCGGUGGAUUAUAAAACCGUGUAUUUUCAGCAGCACCGGAGAACUACGUGAUUCUAGGUCUGAGGCAGAAUUAACCCUGGUGUGUCAAUGCUUGAUCACCAUCGACUCCCUUGGGAAGACAAUCAUCAGUUAAUGUUUGCAUUUACCAUAGGUUUGACACCCAAUAGCCGAUGUAUUUUUCGUGCUGGGGUGUUAUGUUGUUAAACAUCUGUUCUAUUUUGUUUAUUCUAUAGCCUGGGAGACAAGAUUAUGUUUUGGGUAGGAUGUAGCCGGGGUGUUAUGUUGUUAAACAUCUAUUCUAUUCUGUCUAUUUUAUAGCCUAGGAGACAAGAUUAUGUGUAGGCAGGAUGUAGGUGUGAUGGGUUGCAGGAUCGAUCCCCAUCAGUGGACCCACUGGCUUCUAUACCCUGUCCCAGCCAUUGUCCAUUGACAACAAGUUGUCCUGGAGUUGGGGUGGAGUUCACUGGUGGAGAACUAGCAUGAUGGCCAAUGGAUGAUGUCCUCGAUUGAUUUCUUUUGAUGUUUUCACUUAGUGCUACACAACUGUUGCAUAUCAAAGGCCAUGAUAUGUAUGUUGUCCUGUCUUUGGAAAAGUGCCUAUAAAAGAUAUUUUUCUGCAAUUCACAAAGAAUAAGAGUAGCAAGGGUCACAAUUACUAUAUAUUAAAGACGAAGGUUAAUGGUUAUGAGAGAGAACGAGGGUUAAUGGUUAGUGAGAGAAGCUAGGGGUUAAUCGUUAUGAGAGAGAAUGAAGGUUAAUGGUUAGUGAGAGAGAACGAGGGUUAAUGGUGAGAAAGAGAAUGAGGGUUAGUGAGAAAGAAUGUCUGUUAAUGGUUAGUGAGAGAGAUUCAGUGGAUCCAUUCAGCUGAUUGGGUUGUUUUUUUGUUCCAGCCAGUGCACGACAACUGGUCAAA